This is a long non-coding RNA of Dendrobium catenatum, 359 nucleotides long. RefSeq lists it as uncharacterized. The transcript is spliced from 2 exons. The record is from RefSeq and is a predicted model, not a curated record. NCBI's taxonomy places the organism in Eukaryota, Viridiplantae, Streptophyta, Magnoliopsida, Asparagales, Orchidaceae.
GACAGGUGAUUGAAGACUUUGCUAAGUUCGAUUUACUGCUUAAACUAAGGAGGAGAGGAGGGAAGGUGGAGAAAUACAAGGUGGAAGUUCACAAAAAUGUGGGAGGGAUUUUUAGUCUGAAUCAAUUCCUGGAGGGGUAUUAGCUCCUUUGUCUUUGUUGUUGUUACUAGCAGACUUUUACUAAUGAGCUGUUUAAUAACUAAUCACAACUUAAUGGUGGAGAAAUACAAGGGGAAGUUCACAAAAAUGUGGGAGGGAUUUUUAGUCUGAAUCAAUUCCUGGAGGGGUAUUAGCUCCUUUGUCUUUGUUGUUGUUACUAGCAGACUUUUACUAAUGAGCUGUUUAAUAACUAAUCACAA